GAUGAACGCUGGCGGCGUGCCUAAUACAUGCAAGUCGAGCGAACAGACGAGGAGCUUGCUCCUCUGACGUUAGCGGCGGACGGGUGAGUAACACGUGGAUAACCUACCUAUAAGACUGGGAUAACUUCGGGAAACCGGAGCUAAUACCGGAUAAUAUAUUGAACCGCAUGGUUCAAUAGUGAAAGACGGUUUUGCUGUCACUUAUAGAUGGAUCCGCGCCGCAUUAGCUAGUUGGUAAGGUAACGGCUUACCAAGGCAACGAUGCGUAGCCGACCUGAGAGGGUGAUCGGCCACACUGGAACUGAGACACGGUCCAGACCCCUACGGGAGGCAGCAGUAGGGAAUCUUCCGCAAUGGGCGAAAGCUUGACGGAGCAACGCCGCGUGAGUGAUGAAGGUCUUCGGAUCGUAAAACUCUGUUAUUAGGGAAGAGCAAAUGUGUAAGUAACUAUGCACGUCUUGACGGUACCUAAUCAGAAAGCCACGGCUAACUACGUG
Molecule: ribosomal RNA, 497 nt
Filed under: uncultured bacterium
Lineage: Bacteria
Description: partial 16S ribosomal RNA
Rfam family: Bacterial small subunit ribosomal RNA
Source: RNAcentral